GACGAACGCUGGCGGCAUGCCUAACACAUGCAAGUCGAACGGAAACUUCGGGUCUAUUUGCGCACGGGUGCUUAACGCGUGGGAACCUGCCCGUGGGUUCGGAAUACCUCCCCGUGGGGUGUGCUAAUACAGGAUAGUCUCUUCCGACCAAAGAUUUCUCGCCUUUGGGUGGGAGCGCGUUGGAUUCGCUAGUUGGUAGGGUAAAAGCCUGCCAAGGGGACGAUCCAUAGCUGGUCUGAGAGGAGGAGCAGUCACACUGGGACUGAGACACGGACUAGCCUCGUACGGGAGGGAGGAGUGGGUAAUAUUGGACAAGGGGCGCAAGUGCGAUACAGCAACGCCGGGUGAGUGAUGAAUGCUGUAGGGUAGUAAAGCCCCUUUACCCGGGACGAUAAUGACAGUACCGGGAGAAUAAGCUCCGGCUAACUACGUG
This 433-nucleotide ribosomal RNA is filed under the name uncultured bacterium. Its description in RNAcentral is "partial 16S ribosomal RNA". It matches the Rfam family "Bacterial small subunit ribosomal RNA", at positions 28 to 507 of the family's 1533-position model. The record is from RNAcentral.